Molecule: ribosomal RNA, 513 nt
Filed under: uncultured bacterium
Lineage: Bacteria
Description: partial 16S ribosomal RNA
Rfam family: Bacterial small subunit ribosomal RNA
Source: RNAcentral
GAUGAACGCUGGCGGCGUGCCUAAUACAUGCAAGUCGAGCGAACAGACGAGGAGCUUGCUCCUCUGACGUUAGCGGCGGACGGGUGAGUAACACGUGGAUAACCUACCUAUAAGACUGGGAUAACUUCGGGAAACCGGAGCUAAUACCGGAUAAUAUAUUGAACCGCAUGGUUCAAUAGUGAAAGACGGUUUUGCUGUCACUUAUAGAUGGAUCCGCGCCGCAUUAGCUAGUUGGUAAGGUAACGGCUUACCAAGGCAACGAUGCGUAGCCGACCCGAGAGGGUGAUCGGCCACACUGGAACUGAGACACGGUCCAGACUCCUACGGGAGGCAGCAGUAGGGAAUCUUCCGCAAUGGGCGAAAGCCUGACGGAGCAACGCCGCGUGAGUGAUGAAGGUCUUCGGAUCGUAAAACUCUGUUAUUAGGGAAGAACAAAUGUGUAAGUAACUAUGCACGUCUUGACGGUACCUAAUCGGAAAGCCACGGCUAACUACGUGCCAGCCGCCGCCGUAA